RNAcentral lists this ribosomal RNA (253 nucleotides) under uncultured bacterium. RNAcentral's name for it is "partial 16S ribosomal RNA". It matches the Rfam family "Bacterial small subunit ribosomal RNA", at positions 524 to 776 of the family's 1533-position model. The record is from RNAcentral.
UACGGGGGGGGCAAGCGUUGUUCGGAAUUACUGGGCGUAAAGGGCUCGUAGGCGGCCAACUAAGUCAUACGUGAAAUCCCUCGGCUUAACCGGGGAACUGCGUCUGAUACUGGAUGGCUUGAGUUCGGGAGAGGGAUGCGGAAUUCCCCAAGUAGAGGUGAAAUUCGUAGAUAUGGGGAGGAACACCGGUGGCGAAGGCGGCCACCUGGACGGUAACUGACGCUGAGACGCGAAAGCGUGGGGAGCGAACAGG